UAGGUCACACCAAGAUGGGAUCUAUCAACUUUGAUAGAUGAGAGGAGUAGUCCUAUGAUAAUUGAAAGAUCGUGUCCUUAAGCCCAUAGCCAUGGCAGAGUAAAAUAAUGAAAAAGAAUUUUCUAUUAAGGUUUCAUAUCGGACUCGGAUCGAUCGAUUGAUUCAUAUGACUGAUGUUGGAUUUGACGAGUUCACCUUAACCCUAAUUCAGUCGGGACUCAUGAUAGAGGAACUCAAUCACACA
Molecule: long non-coding RNA, 244 nt
Filed under: Elaeis guineensis (African oil palm)
Lineage: Eukaryota; Viridiplantae; Streptophyta; Magnoliopsida; Arecales; Arecaceae
Description: long non-coding RNA (EGUI_LNC042751)
Source: RNAcentral